This 378-nucleotide ribosomal RNA is filed under the name uncultured eukaryote. RNAcentral's name for it is "partial 18S ribosomal RNA". It matches the Rfam family "Eukaryotic small subunit ribosomal RNA", at positions 592 to 976 of the family's 1831-position model. The record is from RNAcentral.
CAAUAGCGUAUAUUAAAGUUGUUGCAGUUAAAAAGCUUGUAGUUGGAUUUCGGGACGGGCCAGUUGGUCCGCCGCAAGGUGUGUUACUGACUGGUCUGUUCUUCUUCGCAAAGACUGCGUGUGCUCUUCGUUGAGUGUGCGUAGGAUUUACGACGUUUACUUUGAAAAAAUUAGAGUGUUCAAAGCAGGCUAUCGCUUGAAUACAUGAGCAUGGAAUAAUGGAAUAGGACUUUGGUCCUAUUUUGUUGGUUUCUAGGGCCGAAGUAAUGAUUAAGAGGGACAAUUGGGGGCAUCCGUAUUUCGUUGUCAGAGGUGAAAUUCUUGGAUUUACGAAAGACGAACAACUGCGAAAGCACUUGCCAAGAGUGUUUUCAUUAA